RNAcentral lists this ribosomal RNA (567 nucleotides) under uncultured bacterium. Its description in RNAcentral is "partial 16S ribosomal RNA". It matches the Rfam family "Bacterial small subunit ribosomal RNA", at positions 355 to 914 of the family's 1533-position model. The record is from RNAcentral.
UGGGGAAUUUUGGACAAUGGGCGAAAGCCUGAUCCAGCAAUGCCGCGUGUGUGAAGAAGGCCUUCGGGUUGUAAAGCACUUUUGUCCGGAAAGAAAUCCUUGGCUCUAAUACAGUCGGGGGAUGACGGUACCGGAAGAAUAAGCACCGGCUAACUACGUGCCAGCAGCCGCGGUAAUACGUAGGGUGCAAGCGUUAAUCGGAAUUACUGGGCGUAAAGCGUGCGCAGGCGGUUUGCUAAGACCGAUGUGAAAUCCCCGGGCUCAACCUGGGAACUGCAUUGGUGACUGGCAGGCUAGAGUAUGGCAGAGGGGGGUAGAAUUCCACGUGUAGCAGUGAAAUGCGUAGAGAUGUGGAGGAAUACCGAUGGCGAAGGCAGCCCCCUGGGCCAAUACUGACGCUCAUGCACGAAAGCGUGGGGAGCAAACAGGAUUAGAUACCCUGGUAGUCCACGCCCUAAACGAUGUCAACUAGUUGUUGGGGGAUUCAUUUCCUUAGUAACGUAGCUAACGCGUGAAGUUGACCGCCUGGGGAGUACGGUCGCAAGAUUAAAACUCAAAUGAAUUGAC